This 437-nucleotide ribosomal RNA is filed under the name Acanthamoeba sp. A13. RNAcentral's name for it is "bacterial SSU rRNA". It matches the Rfam family "Eukaryotic small subunit ribosomal RNA", at positions 769 to 1112 of the family's 1831-position model. The record is from RNAcentral. Lineage: Eukaryota; Discosea; Longamoebia; Acanthamoebidae.
GAGUGUUCAAGCAGGCAGAUACAAAAUUUUCUGCCACCGAAUACAUUAGCAUGGGUAUAAUGGAAUAGGACCCUGUCCUCCUAUUUUCAGUUGGUUUCCACACAGCGAGGACUAGGGUAAUGAUUAAUAGGGAUAGUUGGGGGCAUUAAUAUUUAAUUGUCAGAGGUGAAAUUCUUGGAUUUAUGAAAGAUUAACUUCUGCGAAAGCAUCUGCCAAGGAUGUUUUCAUUAAUCAAGAACGAAAGUUAGGGGAUCGAAGACGAUCAGAUACCGUCGUAGUCUUAACCAUAAACGAUGCCGACCAGCGAUUAGGAGACGUUGAAUACAAAACACCGCCAUCGGCAUGUUUCUUUUUUUCUCAUUCGUGUGCGCCUCGUGUGCACAUGGAUUGGGGCAGAAGGGGGGCAUCCCGACUGGAUCACGGUGAAUGACUCCCUA